AUAAUGACUCUCGGCAACGGAUAUCUAGGCUCUUGCAUCGAUGAAGAACGUAGCGAAAUGCGAUACUUGGUGUGAAUUGCAGAAUCCCGUGAACCAUCGAGUCUUUGAACGCAAGUUGCGCCUGAAGCCAUUAGGCUGAGGGCACGUCUGCCUGGGCGUCACAU
RNAcentral lists this ribosomal RNA (164 nucleotides) under Chesneya mongolica. RNAcentral's name for it is "5.8S ribosomal RNA". It matches the Rfam family "5.8S ribosomal RNA". Rfam says of the family: 5.8S ribosomal RNA (5.8S rRNA) is a component of the large subunit of the eukaryotic ribosome. It is transcribed by RNA polymerase I as part of the 45S precursor that also contains 18S and 28S rRNA. Lineage: Eukaryota; Viridiplantae; Streptophyta; Magnoliopsida; Fabales; Fabaceae. The record is from RNAcentral.